AAGAAUUAGUUAACUGUUUAUAACAUUGGGCUGUCACACCAAAAUAAUUUGAAUAUUCUUUUA
Molecule: transfer RNA, 63 nt
Filed under: Melanastera paucipunctata
Lineage: Eukaryota; Metazoa; Arthropoda; Insecta; Hemiptera; Liviidae
Description: Diclidophlebia paucipunctata tRNA-Asp
Source: RNAcentral